RNAcentral lists this ribosomal RNA (497 nucleotides) under uncultured bacterium. Its description in RNAcentral is "partial 16S ribosomal RNA". It matches the Rfam family "Bacterial small subunit ribosomal RNA", at positions 28 to 507 of the family's 1533-position model. The record is from RNAcentral.
GAUGAACGCUGGCGGCGUGCCUAAUACAUGCAAGUCGAGCGAACGGACGAGGAGCUUGCUUCUCUGAUGUUAACGGCGGACGGGUGAGUAACACGUGGAUAACCUACCUAUAAGACUGGGAUAACUUCGGGAAACCGGAGCUAAUACCGGAUAAUAUUUUGAACCGCAUGGUUCAAAAGUAAAAGACGGUCUUGCUGUCACUUAUAGAUGGAUCCGCGCUGCAUUAGCUAGUUGGUAAGGUAACGGCUUACCAAGGCAACGAUGCAUAGCCGACCUGAGAGGGUGAUCGGCCACACUGGAACUGAGACACGGUCCAGACUCCUACGGGAGGCAGCAGUAGGGAAUCUUCCGCAAUGGGCGAAAGCCUGACGGAGCAACGCCGCGUGAGUGAUGAAGGUCUUCGGAUCGUAAAACUCUGUUAUUAGGGAAGAACAUAUGUGUAAGUAACUGUGCACAUCUUGACGGUACCUAAUCAGAAAGCCACGGCUAACUACGUG